RNAcentral lists this ribosomal RNA (253 nucleotides) under uncultured bacterium. RNAcentral describes it as "partial 16S ribosomal RNA". It matches the Rfam family "Bacterial small subunit ribosomal RNA", at positions 524 to 776 of the family's 1533-position model. The record is from RNAcentral.
UACGGAGGGUGCAAGCGUUAAUCGGAAUUACUGGGCGUAAAGCGUGCGCAGGCGGUUUGUUAAGUCCGUUGUGAAAGCCCCGAGCUCAACUUGGGAAUUGCAGUGGAUACUGGCAGGCUGGAGUACGGUAGAGGAAGGUGGAAUUCCCGGUGUAGCAGUGAAAUGCGUAGAUAUCGGGAGGAACACCAGUGGCGAAGGCGGCCUUCUGGACCAGUACUGACGCUCAUGCACGAAAGCGUGGGUAGCAAACAGG